RNAcentral lists this transfer RNA (87 nucleotides) under Alcanivorax sp. N3-2A. RNAcentral describes it as "tRNA-Leu". It matches the Rfam family "tRNA". From Rfam's summary of the family: Transfer RNA (tRNA) molecules are approximately 80 nucleotides in length. Lineage: Bacteria; Pseudomonadati; Pseudomonadota; Gammaproteobacteria; Oceanospirillales; Alcanivoracaceae. The record is from RNAcentral.
GCCAGAGUGGUGAAAUUGGUAGACACGACGGAUUCAAAAUCCGUUGCCCGCGAGGGCGUGCCGGUUCAAGUCCGGCCUCUGGUACCA